GGCGUGCCUAUACAUGCAAGUCGAGCGAAUGGAUUAGAGCUUGCUCUUAUGAAGUUAGCGGCGGACGGGUGAGUAACACGUGGGUAACCUGCCCAUAAGACUGGGAUAACUCCGGGAAACCGGGGCUAAUACCGGAUAACAUUUUGAACCGCAUGGUUCGAAAUUGAAAGGCGGCUUUCGGAUUGUCACUUAUGGAUGGACCCGCGUCGCAUUAGCUAGUUGGUGAGGUAACGGCUCACCAAGGCAACGAUGCGUAGCCGACCUGAGAGGGUGAUCGGCCACACUGKUGACUGAGACACGGCCCAGACUCCUACGGGAGGCAGCAGUAGGGAAUCUUCCGCAAUGGACGAAAGUCUGACGGAGCAACGCCGCGUGAGUGAUGAAGGCUUUCGGGUCGUAAAACUCUGUUGUUAGGGAAAGAACAAGUGCUAGUUGAAUAAGCUGGCACCUUGACGGUACCCUAACCCAGAAAAGCCACGGCUUAACUACCGUGCCAGCAGCCGCGGCAAUUA
Molecule: ribosomal RNA, 512 nt
Filed under: Bacillus cereus
Lineage: Bacteria; Bacillati; Bacillota; Bacilli; Caryophanales; Bacillaceae
Description: bacterial SSU rRNA
Rfam family: Bacterial small subunit ribosomal RNA
Source: RNAcentral